This 497-nucleotide ribosomal RNA is filed under the name uncultured bacterium. RNAcentral's name for it is "partial 16S ribosomal RNA". It matches the Rfam family "Bacterial small subunit ribosomal RNA", at positions 38 to 507 of the family's 1533-position model. The record is from RNAcentral.
GGGGGGGGGGGGGGGGGGGGGGGGGGGGGGGGAGGCGGGGGGGGGGGCGGGGGGGGUGCGGGGCGGACGGCAGCGGCGGACGGGGGAGGAACGCGUGGAGAACCUACCUAUAAGACGGGGAUAACUGCGGGAAACCGGAGCUAAUACCGGAUAAUAUAUUGAACCGCAUGGUGCAAUAGUGAAAGACGGUUUUGCUGUCACUUAUAGAUGGAUCCGCGCCGCAUUAGCUAGUUGGUAAGGUAACGGCUUACCAAGGCGACGAUGCGUAGCCGACCUGAGAGGGUGAUCGGCCACACUGGAACUGAGACACGGUCCAGACUCCUACGGGAGGCAGCAGUAGGGAAUCUUCCGCAAUGGGCGAAAGCCUGACGGAGCAACGCCGCGUGAGUGAUGAAGGUCUUCGGAUCGUAAAACUCUGUUAUUAGGGAAGAACAAAUGUGUAAGUAACUAUGCACGUCUUGACGGUACCUAAUCAGAAAGCCACGGCUAACUACGUG